AAUUCUCAACCUCCAUGGAGUUUGUAAUGGACUUCUUGAAGUGUUGGAUUUGGAGGUCUGCUGGCGUCUGACGUCGGCUCCUCUUGAAUGCAUUAGUGGGAGCUUUGUGCUCGACCCAGUAGCGGUGUAAUAAUUAUUACCACUGUGAAACCGUUGAGUCUUUUCCUGCUUCCAACCGUCCUCUCGGAAGGACAAGCAUAUAUUCAUU
Molecule: unclassified non-coding RNA, 208 nt
Filed under: uncultured Agaricomycetes
Lineage: Eukaryota; Fungi; Basidiomycota; Agaricomycetes
Description: sequence contains ITS2
Source: RNAcentral